RNAcentral lists this ribosomal RNA (279 nucleotides) under uncultured bacterium. Its description in RNAcentral is "partial 16S ribosomal RNA". It matches the Rfam family "Bacterial small subunit ribosomal RNA", at positions 506 to 784 of the family's 1533-position model. The record is from RNAcentral.
UGCCAGCCGCCGCGGUAAUACGGAGGGUGCGAGCGUUAAUCGGAAUUACUGGGCGUAAAGCGUGCGUAGGCGGUUGAUUAAGUCAGAUGUGAAAGCCCAGGGCUCAACCUUGGAACUGCAUUUGAAACUGGUCGGCUAGAGUUUUGUAGAGGGUGGUGGAAUUUCCAGUGUAGCGGUGAAAUGCGUAGAGAUUGGAAGGAACAUCAGUGGCGAAGGCGGCCACCUGGACAAAAACUGACGCUGAGGCACGAAAGCGUGGGGCGCAAACAGGAUUAGAUA